CUGUUUGAUUAUGGUCAUAGGGAAAACUACUUGAAAUUGUAUUAUAUACACAAAAAGAUGCUUUUCUGUAAUCCGAGUCCUGUAGUUUGUAUGCCAUUUCUCCCUAGUUAGUUAGUUGCUUUGUUUUGUUACCAAAAUUGCUUCAGUUCUCUAAGUUGAAUGACUAAUCGUCAACUUCGAUUGAUUAUGUUUAGUAACACUUUGUCUAGUGGUAAAUAUAUAUGGGGAUUUUGCAGGAUAUCUUUGAGUACAAAGGGCAUUUGGAAGGUUAAAAAUUCUGUGAUUGUUUUCUAGUAUGAUGGCAGACGGAUGUGCGAAACAAAUAACAGAAAUGGCUCAGGAACAUUAUGUCUAUGUAAGUACUGAUGAUUGGGCUGAACAUUAACUUUGUCAAAGACUGUCAGCUUUCAAGGAGUAUGUGCAGGAGUUCAAGGAACUCAGGAGCCAUUUGCACUGAAAUCAUCUUUGCCAGGUAAGAAAAGUGCAUUUAGUGAUUUUCCGGUACAAAAUUGAUGCACAAGUGCAAAAUGCUAGUUUUUUUUUAUCACGCUGGCAGGUUGCCUAUCUAUCAUAUUCAAAUGCUCUGGAUGCUGUCAAAGCAGAAGGGUAGAAUGAACGUUACAUCAGCAUUCUUAGAUUUCAGAAGAGCUUGGGGUAUCUGUGUAGUGGAGUUCAAUAUGUACUUUGGUCACAUUAACUUACCUCGUUUUUGCAUGUUUUUUUAUUGUGUUUUCUUCUGUUUCAAAUCAGUUUGGGUUGGGUUACACUCUGUAAGAGGAGUUUCAAGCCUAUAUCUAAAUGCAAAUGGAUCUUACUGGCUUGCUGAGAGAUAGAACCGUAUAUAAGUUUGAGGUUCCAACUGUCAAUGAAUGGAAUUGAGUAUUAAUACUGAUGUUUGUUGAUGCCUUACACAUACUUGAUUUCUAAAUACAAGCACUAAAGAUCCAUUUUACCCCUUACGUAGCUGUAGUAAGUUGAUACCAGAGUUGGCCUAGCGUAGCAUAACACCAGUAGUAAGUACAGUGUGCUUCCCUUCCUAAAUUUUCUAUUUGUUGUGGAAUCAUUUGAGGUCUCUUCAUUUGGAACAUCAAAGGGAAUAGUGAACUUCUGUUUCCUACCACGAAUGAAAUAGAGAUCUUUGAUGGGACGGUCUGCAUAAAGAAUCCACAAUGAAGGGUUCAGCUAAUGUAUUUGCUCUGCAGUGAUCAGACUAAUGAGAUGAGGCAUAGUGUUUAAUGGAAUAGAAAGAGGAAUCUGAUUUUACAGCCUGUCCUUGAUUACUUUCCGUCUCUCUUAACCAAUUAGACAUUUGUAUUAUGUAUUGCUUCUCUAUGCAGAAAUAGACAAUAGUUGAGGACACAGACUUGUUAAUCAGAAGGGCUGAGAGAUGCUUGGAAACAGGAGCUAACAUGAUCAUGAUGGAACAUUGUCGAACAAGCUCACCUGAUGUUAUCUUUUGUAAUUUAUUAGAAUAUUUGGCAUGAAAGAACUUCUCAUGUUUUCAGUAGUAUAUCCAAAGCUUUUGAGGAUAAAUUGUGUUGCAAUGCUCUCAGAACUACAUUUUCAAGCAGGAGGUACUGAUGGCUUCAUGCCGAGACAGACUUCCAACCUCUUGUGCAUCCUGCAGGAGACCAUCAUUUUUUUGUAUCAGUCUGCUGAAUUUUUAGCAGAACGAUACUGUCAGUCUGUUCUCAAACUAGGCUAACAACUGCUGGCUACGGCCUACGGUUAUUACAAAGAAAAUAAGAACCCAAGCCCACUCCUUCAGUUUCAACGUAUAAAGACAUAAUCAACAUUAUAAUUUACUCAUAUUUACGAAAAAAUCUCUCCUUAAUACCUAAUUCUCGUCUCUCCUUCAUCACUCGUUUCUCGAAAAAUUGCGAAAUCCUGUUUUCAUCUUGCAGAACUCCCAUCUCGAAUCAUCACAUCAUAAGAUACACUUGUUAAUUGAUCGAAAUGGGCACUUUCAAAAGAAAACAUUCAAAGUCACACAAGGAAAUAGUUGAGGAAGAUGACUUUAGCGAUGACUUGAGUGAAGUAUCUGAGCCUGAGCAAUCUGAACCAGAAUCUGAAUCUGAAUCAGAAGAUGAGGAGGGAGUUAUAAAAUUAGCUGUACCUUCAAAAACGUUUAUAUUCAACAGAGAAGGUUUGCAAGAGCAACUUGAGGAUAUAAGCUGGCCGGAAAAUGUAGACUGGAUCCACAAACUCACCGUCGAUAUUGAUCAAGAUGAGGAGGUGGAUGUUAAUGAUGAUUUAGCACGUGAAUUAUCUUUCUAUAACCAGGCGUUGGAGGGAACACGACAAGCCUUUGAGAAGCUUCAAAAAAGAAACCUUCCAUUUCUCAGGCCUGCUGAUUAUUAUGCAGAGAUGGUCAAAACAGAUUCCCACAUGGUGAAGGUGAAGGGUCGACUCUUGGAGGAGAAGAAACGGAUUGAGGAAGCUGAUGAGAGAAGAAAAGCAAGAGAUGCUAAGAAAAUAUCGAAAGAAGUACAGGCAGAAAAGCUUAAAGAGAGAGCCAAGCAAAAGAAGGAUGAUUUUGAAUCGGUUAAAAGGUGGCGAAAACAAAGGCAGCAAAGUGGAUUUGAGAAGGGAGGCGAUGAUGAAGAUAUGGGUCUUUCAUUUGAAGAUGGGAAAACAUUUGACAGAAAUAAAAAGAAGAGACCUGGGGUUCGUCCAGGAGAUAGGUCAGGUGGGUUGGGAAACAAAGGCAACUUUAAGGGAAAGAAAGGUGGUGUUAAUAAAAAGAAAAGCAGCAAGGAGCGCAGGGAUUCAAAGUUUGGGUUUGGAGGGAAGAAAGGGAUGAAGAAACAAAAUACUGCUGAUUCUACAAAUGAUUUUGGUGGAUUUAAUAAAGGUGAUUCUUCAGGAAACAAGAGGAGGAGGAAGUUUUAAGUGAGCGUUGUUCGUUCCAAUACCAUCCUGCAGCAGUUGAUUCCGGAUAGUGCUUGAAACUUGAAACCACUGCACUUCUUUUAUUGGUGAUGGAUCUACAGCGCCUCAGUGGACGUAGCCUGGUUUUAAAAAAAGUUUCAAGACAAUUUUUGCAGCAGUGAAGCUGGAGAUCCUUGAGUUGGAAGUUGCCAAGCUUGUUAAAUAGUAUCACCACCAGCAGGAUCACUUAGCCACCAUUCAUAGAAUCGGAACAGAAAACGCAUUCUUUGAUCGCGUUCUGCCACUGUCCCCUCUUUUUCAUCAGGAGAUAUUCUACCGAUGGACAUGUACCGUAUGAUGCAUAUCUUGCAGACAAGACCACUGCUCUCUCUUUUGUUCUCAGACUGAACGAACAAUGGAUGCAGCUAAGCAACCUUACUUUGAGAUGAGCUCCAGACUUGUUAAAAAAAUGUCACAUAUUCCUCAAGGUAGUCAAGUAUUUUGUGGCAAAAUAUCUCCUUGCUGCAAUAUUAAGAUAAGUGUGGGAGUCUGAAAUUCCGUAGGUAGGUUCUGCACGUGUUAAAGACCUCAAUGGAGAACUCAA
Papaver somniferum (opium poppy) is the source of this 3475-nucleotide RNA transcript. It is a transcript of the gene named probable rRNA-processing protein EBP2 homolog, with no coding region annotated. The record is from RefSeq and is a predicted model, not a curated record. The transcript is spliced from 6 exons. NCBI's taxonomy places the organism in Eukaryota, Viridiplantae, Streptophyta, Magnoliopsida, Ranunculales, Papaveraceae.